Molecule: long non-coding RNA, 898 nt
Organism: Carassius carassius (crucian carp)
Lineage: Eukaryota; Metazoa; Chordata; Actinopteri; Cypriniformes; Cyprinidae
Exons: 4
Source: RefSeq, a predicted model, not a curated record
CAUCUGUUGAAUUUACUUCAUAGAAAUGGUUUAGUGUUUUCGAACAAGUCCGUGAGGAUCUUAACCGUUAUCAGAGGAGAUUCUUCUAGUGCUUGAUGGCCUUCUGUAUCCCAUGAUGAGCAAACCUCCUGUCCAACAACAUCUCCAAGGCACACUGAACCAUAUGACUAGCAGUGAAAAAUACAUUGUGGACCAAAGAGGAAACUGACAACACACUGACAGAAGAAGACAAGAGAAGGUCACUUCUGAUCCAUCAAUGUCCUCAUCUUCUGUGUCUGAAUUGAACAACUGGGCAACAGCUUUUGAACAGGUUUCGCCAUCAAACAUGCCAGGUUCCCUCUCAUCAUGGUUGAUCGCUGCCAGUGUACGUAUUACGUCCCUGUGUCAGCGGGAAAUGGUCCGACAGUCAGGUAAACAGAGCGCUUACCAAAGUCGCACAACAACAUUUUUACAGAUUUUGGAACUCAGUGCACACAUAAGGCGCACCGGAUUAUCAGGUGCACGCAUGAUUUUUGAGAAAAUGAAAGGCUCUUAGAUGCACCUUAUAUUGUGGAAAAUAUGGUAAUUUGUUUGUCAGGCAAGAUGGCAGUAUUGGCGUUAUGAUAGGUCAGAUCACUUGUCAAUCAAGCUCACUGUGAACGUUCAAUGACAUUUUAACAUGUAUUCACAAAGAAAACAUCUCAUAAUGUUUCAUUUCUGUUAAAUGUGAUGAAAUAAAUCAUCUUUUGUGUGAAAUAUGAACAGCUAUGCUAAUCUUUCUCCUUUUGUUUUCCUGUUUCUCCAGCCUCGCGUGUGGAGACUUCAGAAGAUGCCAGACCUCACAAAGAUUUCAGAUGAUGGGAACUAUAGAUAAACAUGCAAAGCUGCUAAAUAAUCCUUAUAUUGUAAUCAUUGCCCU